Long non-coding RNA from Hippocampus comes (tiger tail seahorse), 2200 nucleotides. RefSeq lists it as uncharacterized. NCBI's taxonomy places the organism in Eukaryota, Metazoa, Chordata, Actinopteri, Syngnathiformes, Syngnathidae. The transcript has 3 exons. The record is from RefSeq and is a predicted model, not a curated record.
CGCCCCGUUAUGCCCAAUUCUACCUGUGGAAAGUCACGCAAAAUACCAAAAAGAAAGAAAAUUUCCACCCAUGCGUAGUGACAGACUGCCCUUUGCGUUAGACUUGUGCUGUGAAUAUUAAUGCAGCCAAAAGAGGUAAGCCCAAAGUUAUUUAUAGGCCUACUCUGAGUUCAGUUAAUUAAUUACAUGUUGAAUGGGUUUUUUUUAGCUGGGAAUGACACAAGAGAGAAGUUGUGUUAAGGGAUAUGGAAAAAAAAAAACUAAACAGUUAUUUUGUUUUUACAUGUUGAAUUUUCUGACAAUUAUGAAAAAGCAUUCGAAAGCAUCAUGGUAACCUCAAUUAAACAUUACUUUGGCACAUCAUUGUGUAAUUUUCAUGCUAAACAAGACCCAUUUAAUAUAUACACAUUUAUCCCAAAAUUAGGCAAUGAAUAAAUUGGUGCUUUGCUGUGUAUCAUUAACAAUUAGAAGAUAUCUGUUGGGACACAUUGCAAUUGCUUCCGACCAUGCAUCUCUAGUUCUGUUUAACAACCCCAUCUGUGUAUCAUGGCGGUUAGUGUGGUGUCAAACUCUUGUGAUGUUCUUCAUGUUUCUGUUGCUUUAUUUAGCUGCAAAAGAUCAAAUAUUACAAACAGCCGAAUGUCCAGAUGACACAGUGCCAUUUUACAACCACUGCAAACAGACAACCAAUCAAAACUGUGCAUGAUUAUCUUUGUAAAGGAUGGGUUUUUUUUGUAUUGAAUCACAUCAAUUGUCAUGUGUACUUAAUGUUGUGGCCGUUGACGCUGUUAAUCAGGGGGUGGGCAAAGUACAGCCUGCGGGGCCAAGACUGGCCCGUCAAGCAUUUACAUUAGCAAGAGUCCUGUAAUAUUGCUUGCAGGAAUUUUGGCUCUUUUGUGUUGUUGUUGUUGUUGCUAAAAUUAUUUAAUGAAUUUAUUUUUUCGUUGGUAUUUUAUUAAUUAAAUAUUUGGUGAUUUAUUGUGAAUAAUAAAUGUAUAUGUUAAAAUGUACUAAUUGAUGGAACAAAAUUAAUUCAUACAUUUAUUGAUAUUAUUUAAACAUAUAUGCAUAGAAAAAACAUUUUAGCUCUUUUUCUCCCCAACCUCUUCUACAAAUCACCUGCCCCAUGUGUCUGUUUUCAAAGUAAAAUGGGGCCCUUGAACCCCAAAAGUUUGCCCACCCCUGCUGCAAAUCUUGACACAACAACAGAUUCUGAGACGCAUGUGGAUGGUUUGUGUGACAGUGUAGUAGUGACGAUAGUACAAUGUGUGACCUAUAAAAGUAGCAGAUGUAUGUUUGUAGAUCACAGAAAAUGGCAUCCCGAGAGAUCUUUUGUUGUAUUGACUGUGGGUGAGUCAUUCCACUAUCAUGUGCUUCCUUAUCUUUUCACACCAAAAAUAAAAAAUAUGUUCUGUAAGUGGUGAUGAGUAUGUGUGAUGUCAAGAGCAGGACAGCAGGCAAGGAUGCAGUGUGGGUGCGAAACAACAGUGCAGGCUCAGUGUACAGGAAUCACGAGAAUGGCGUCUGUCCGCCCACGAUGCCCACUGUGUCCUCUCUCGUCACGCUAUUUGUCUCCUUUUCCUCACUCAAGUCUGACAACAACCAGACAACAGCCUCCAUGUGCAGGUUGCACUCUCAUCUCAUUUCCCCAACGUAAAAAGCAGCAGGCGAAAGAAGAAUGAGCGUAUUUGACCGCCUGUCACCUUUAAUCCCUCGUCUGUCGGCGUCCUCCAAACAAGCAAAAGAUCAUCCUCAGCUUCCUCAUCCUACCCACCCUUCAUCCGCUCCUUUGUCUGCUCCCCUGAAAAGGAAAGGAGUUGACAUGCCUUCGUAUAGGCUCGAGGGUGUCACCUACGAAAGAAAUCAAAAGAAGCUCUUGGGUGCUGACAGCUCCACAUGUUUUGGCCCUGCUUGUUCAUCAACGUGUCCUCCUUGGAGUAAACACGGCCAGCAUCUGCAGAGGAAUGACGGUGAAAUAACUGUAAAACGUCCUGCAAAGACUUCCGUUACCUUUUCGGCAAAGACGAACACCCCCACUUCUGAGCCCCAAUCCAGGAGGGAUAGGCUUGAUCAGAAAGAGUUGUUGGACUUUUCCAAUCGAGGUAUACAUAGACAAAGUUGGCUCCAGCUGAUUGCGCAAAAUCCUCCAAGACGAUAAAUACAAACAGCAACAAGCGAUUGAAGCAUAUAUAUAAGUGUG